Long non-coding RNA from Olea europaea var. sylvestris, 2151 nucleotides. RefSeq lists it as uncharacterized. The transcript has 3 exons. Lineage: Eukaryota; Viridiplantae; Streptophyta; Magnoliopsida; Lamiales; Oleaceae. The record is from RefSeq and is a predicted model, not a curated record.
ACGGCCUAAUUUUUGCUUUGCCUACGAUUUUUCUCAGUCGCACCCAUAUUUUCUUCCCAAUGAAUUGUAGAUUUCUUCGCUGAUUUGUAGCAGAAAUCGGGCAUUUUGUUACAGAAACCGGGGGCAUUGCUUCGCUGAUUUCUCUCGAUUUCUCUUCGUCACGGCGUUGCUUGAGGUACCCAAUACGGGGGUUAAUUUCGAAAGCAAACAGGAAGGCAAAAUCUGGUUAGAUUCGAAGAGAUGACGGACAAAGUUAUUCCCCUUCCUCAUUUGAGUUUGAUUUCUCUUGAUUCCUCUUUGAGUCGUUAUUGUCAUGUAGCAAACAUAAGAUUGUUCCUGAUAGUUUACACAAUUUCAAAGUUUGAUUGUCAAUAAGUUGUUAAACAUAAUUUUGACGUUCUGUGGGUGGAAAGUUUAACCCAUAUAUUAUGUAGUUCAACCUUCUCUUUGUGGUAUGUGAGUUAGCUCAGAGAUCCACCAUUGGCCAUUGGAAUGUAAACAAAUAGCCACUCGAGGUAACUUGAAUUGUGUCCCAGCCUAUGGAUUAGUGUACAUUUUUCACACAAGUAGAUGUGCUAAUGAAUGAUCUUUGACCUUUCGAACCAAAAGAUGACGGAAAAAGUGAUUAAUAAAACUCCUAAUUUUGGUAUCGUUUGUCCAAUUUGAUACAGUUUUGGACCCUAGAAACUGCAUCAAAAUCGGGUGUUUUGGGCUCAAAUGUUUAGGACCAUCUUAAAUGAUCUUUGGGUUGAAUAAACAUGUCCUAGAUUCUACACCCUUACUUAGUGAAAUGAUGGAAGUCUGGUAUAUAAAAAAAUGCUAGACCUAGUCAUACUAAUUUGCAGCAAGCAAUGUUCGAGUACUUGUGUUCCAAGGAUGAAUUAUAUGCAGGUACUUGUGUUCGUUAUAAUUUUUCCUUUUUUGUGGCAGCGAAAGAAAUUUCGGAAGAGGUGAAGAAUGAUAUCUUGUUAGAAUCAGAUAACAACAAUAUGUUGGAAAGUGUUAACUUAGUGGAUGAUGGAACUGCAGGAUUAGAUUGUAUGAUUGUGCCCAAGGUAGGUAUGAAGCUCGAUGAUGAAAAAGAAAUGUUUGAUUUUUACAAAAGAUAUGCGUACAACGUGGGCUUCCCGGUUAGGAAAAGAAACUCGCAAAAGGAUGAUGACGGAAUUGUGAGAUAUGUUGUGUUUACAUGUAGCCGUGAUGGUCGAAGGAGUAGUACCACAAGCGGUUCUAUGAAGCCGCAAACUACCAUUCAAACAGGUUGUAAAGCUAGGCUGAUUGCACCUGUAGAUGCAUGCGGAGUAUGGAGAAUUAAUAUAGCCAAUCUCAUUCACAAUCAUAAAACCAACCCUUCAAAGUCCAGGUUAUAUCGUUGCAAACCGAGAAUUGAGUGCCCAUGUCAAACUACAGCUUGAAGUGAACGACAUGGCAGGGAUUCCGUUGCAUAAAAGUUAUAACUCUACAAUUGUAGAAGUAGGGGGUGUGAGAAUAUGACUUGUAUCGAAGAGGAUUGUUGAAAUUAAGUUGAAUAGGUGAGGCGGUUAAGAUUUGGAGAAGGAGAUGCCGCAGCGAUACAUGUUUACUUUUCGAACAUGCAAGCAAAGUGCUCAAGUUUUUUCUUUAUUAUGGAUUUAGACGAAGAGUCGCGGUUGAGGAAUAUUUUCUGGAUAGAUAAUAAGAGUAGGCAAGCAUAUAAGGAGUUUGUGGACAUGGUAACAUUCGAUACCACGUACUUAACUAAUAAGUAUGACAUGCCAUUUGCGCCGUUUGUUGGAGUUAAUCAUCAUGGACAAUCAACACUCCUUGAUUUUGCAAGAAAGUGCAUAGUAGUAGUAAUUAUUUGUCUCUUAUGCAAGGCUAUCCAACUUCAGUCAAGGAAAGGAGAACUAAGGCAGGCCCAAGUCCACUAGAAGAAGUUGAAUCGGUCCGAUACUCCAUGUAGCAACCAGUCUCAUAUUCACAACGUCUGAUGGGUGCCGGUGAAAGUUAUGCAUUUACACAACAACAAACGACUCCCAAUUUUAUCCAAUUGGAUUGGACAAAUGAUAUGUUGUAUGCUGGACAAGCAAUGCCUAAUUACAUUCCAAAUGUACCUCUCUGGCAUGGACCGAACUUUUGAUGUUAUACGAAGAAGAAUGAUGGACAGCUAUU